RNAcentral lists this unclassified non-coding RNA (338 nucleotides) under soil metagenome. RNAcentral describes it as "partial contains 5.8S ribosomal RNA, internal transcribed spacer 2, and large subunit ribosomal RNA". The stretch from base 1 to 119 matches the Rfam family "5.8S ribosomal RNA", at positions 36 to 154 of the family's 154-position model. The record is from RNAcentral.
AUGAAGAACGUAGCGAAAUGCGAUACGUAGUGUGAAUUGCAGAAUUCAGUGAAUCAUCGAAUCAUUGAACGCACAUUGCACCUCUCGGUAUUCCGGGAGGUAUGCCUGUUCGAGCGUCAUUUGUACCCUCAAGCUCUGCUUGGUGUUGGGUGUUUGUUCCGCCUCUGUGUGUGAACUCGCCUCAAAACAAUUGGCAGCCGGCGUACUUGUUUCGGAGCGCAGCACAUUUUGCGAUCCAGAUCAACGUACAGCGGCAUCCAAGAAGCCUUAUUUAACGCUCUUGACCUCGGAUCAGGUAGGGAUACCCGCUGAACUUAAGCAUAUCAAUAAGCGGAGGA